CGCGUAGGUGGCUAAGUCAGUCAGAUGUGAAAGCCCAGGGCUCAACCUUGGAACUGCACCUGAUACUGCUUGGCUAGAGUACGAUAGAGGGGAGUGGAAUUUCCGGUGUAGCGGUGAAAUGCGUAGAGAUCGGAAGGAACACCAGUGGCGAAGGCGACUCUCUGGAUUGAUACUGACACUGAGAUGCGAAAGCGUGGGGAGCAAACA
Molecule: ribosomal RNA, 207 nt
Filed under: uncultured bacterium
Lineage: Bacteria
Description: partial 16S ribosomal RNA
Rfam family: Bacterial small subunit ribosomal RNA
Source: RNAcentral